This 449-nucleotide ribosomal RNA is filed under the name uncultured Allobrachymonas sp. RNAcentral's name for it is "bacterial SSU rRNA". It matches the Rfam family "Bacterial small subunit ribosomal RNA", at positions 927 to 1382 of the family's 1533-position model. The record is from RNAcentral. Lineage: Bacteria; Pseudomonadati; Pseudomonadota; Betaproteobacteria; Burkholderiales; Comamonadaceae.
AAGCGGUGGAUGAUGUGGUUUAAUCGAUGCAACGCGAAAACCUUACCACCUUUGACAUGGCAGGAAUCCCGAAGAGAUUUGGGAGUGCUCGAAAGAGAACCUGCACACAGGUGCUGCAUGGCUGUCGUCAGCUCGUGUCGUGAGAUGUUGGGUUAAGUCCCGCAACGAGCGCAACCCUUGCCAUUAGUUGCUACGAAAGGGCACUCUAAUGGGACUGCCGGUGACAAACCGGGAGGAAGGUGGGGAUGGCGUCAAGUCCUCAUGGCCCUUAUAGGUGGGGCUACACACGUCAUACAAUGGCCGGUACAGAGGGUAGCCAACCCGCGAGGGGGAGCCAAUCCCACAAAGCCGGUCGUAGUCCGGAUCGCAGUCUGCAACUCGACUGCGUGAAGUCGGAAUCGCUAGUAAUCGCGGAUCAGCAUGUCGCGGUGAAUACGUUCCCGGGUCUU